GAUGAACGCUGGCGGCGUGCCUAAUACAUGCAAGUCGAGCGAUGAGGCUCCUUUGGGAGUACAUCAGCGGAGAACGGGUGAGUAACACGUGGGUGACUUGCCCCGAACAUGGGGAUAACCUCUGGAAACUGGGGCUAAUACCCAAUGUGCUCUGUGAUUCCGUUCAUCGAGUAUAGCUCCCGCGCUUCUGAAGAGGCCUGCGGCCCUUCAGCUAGGUGGUAUGGUAACGGCCUACUGACGUAUAGACCGGUAGGGGGCGUGAGAGCGCGGACCCCCACCCUGGGGCUGAGAUACCGGCCAGACUCCUCCCCCAUGCAGCAAUAAGGGAUAUUGCGCAAUGCACGAAAGUCAGACCCAUCGACGCCUCGUGGGCGAUGAAGGCCUUCGGAUUGUAAAGCCCUUUUAUGGGGGAAAAGAAAAAGGACGGUACCCCUGGAAUAACUCCCGCCUAACUACGUGCCAUCAACCGCGGUAAAACGUAAGGGACAAGCGUUAUCCGGAUUCACUGGUCGGAAAGAGCGUUCACGCUGUUCCGUAAGAUGCGAGUGAAACCUCCGGUCUUGACUCCUAGAUGUCGUUCAAUACUGUUGGGCUUGAGCACAGCAAAGGACAGUGCAAUUCCCUGUGUAUUGGUGCUAUGCGUCCAUAUCGUGUAGGAACACCCGUGG
This 668-nucleotide ribosomal RNA is filed under the name uncultured organism. RNAcentral's name for it is "bacterial SSU rRNA". It matches the Rfam family "Bacterial small subunit ribosomal RNA", at positions 28 to 715 of the family's 1533-position model. The record is from RNAcentral.